AGUGAACGCUGGCGGUAGGCCUAACACAUGCAAGUCGAACGGCAGCACAGUAAGAGCUUGCUCUUACGGGUGGCGAGUGGCGGACGAGUGAGGAAUACAUCGGAAUCUACUUUUUCGUGGGGGAUGACGUAGGGAAACUUACGCUAAUACCGCAUACGACCUACGGGUGAAAGCAGGGGAUCUUCGGACCUUGCGCGAUUGAAUGAGCCGAUGUCGGAUUAGCUAGUUGGCGGGGUAAAGGCCCACCAAGGCGAUGAUCCGUAGCUGGUCUGAGAGGAUGAUCAGCCACACUGGAACUGAGACACGGUCCAGACUCCUACGGGAGGCAGCAGUGGGGAAUAUUGGACAAUGGGCGCAAGCCUGAUCCAGCCAUACCGCGUGGGUGAAGAAGGCCUUCGGGUUGUAAAGCCCUUUUGUUGGGAAAGAAAAGCAGCAGGUUAAUACCCCGCUGUUCUGACGGUACCCAAAGAAUAAGCACCGGCUAACUUCGUG
This 492-nucleotide ribosomal RNA is filed under the name uncultured bacterium. RNAcentral describes it as "partial 16S ribosomal RNA". It matches the Rfam family "Bacterial small subunit ribosomal RNA", at positions 29 to 507 of the family's 1533-position model. The record is from RNAcentral.